This is a non-coding RNA of Salmo salar (Atlantic salmon), 72 nucleotides long. The record is from Rfam. Lineage: Eukaryota; Metazoa; Chordata; Actinopteri; Salmoniformes; Salmonidae.
UCCCGUGUGGCUCAGUUGGUAGAGCAUGGUGUUUGCAACGCCAGGGUUGUGGGCUCGAUUCCCACAGGGGAC